CCUACGGGAGGCAGCAGUAGGGAAUAUUGCUCAAUGGGGGAAACCCUGAAGCAGCAACGCCGCGUGGAGGAUGAAGGUUUUCGGAUUGUAAACUCCUUUUGUUAGAGAAGAUAAUGACGGUAUCUAACGAAUAAGCACCGGCUAACUCCGUGCCAGCAGCCGCGGUAAUACGGAGGAUGCGAGCGUUAUUCGGAUUUAUUGGGUUUAAAGGGUGCGUAGGCGGACUGGAAAGUCAGCGGUAAAAUCGAGGGGCUCAACCUCUUUCCGCCGUUGAAACUGUCGGUCUUGAGUGGGCGAGAAGUAUGCGGAAUGCGUGGUGUAGCGGUGAAAUGCAUAGAUAUCACGCAGAACUCCGAUUGCGAAGGCAGCAUACCGGCGCCCGACUGACGCUGAGGCACGAAAGCGUGGGUAUCGAACAGGAUUAGAUACCCGUGUAGUC
This 439-nucleotide ribosomal RNA is filed under the name uncultured bacterium. RNAcentral's name for it is "partial 16S ribosomal RNA". It matches the Rfam family "Bacterial small subunit ribosomal RNA", at positions 338 to 795 of the family's 1533-position model. The record is from RNAcentral.